RNAcentral lists this ribosomal RNA (499 nucleotides) under uncultured bacterium. Its description in RNAcentral is "partial 16S ribosomal RNA". It matches the Rfam family "Bacterial small subunit ribosomal RNA", at positions 28 to 506 of the family's 1533-position model. The record is from RNAcentral.
GACGAACGCUGGCGGCGUGCCUAAUACAUGCCAGUCGUGCGGACCUUGUUGAAAGCUUGCUUUUAAACGGUUCGCGGCGGCCGGGUGAGUAACACGUGGGCAACCUGCCUGUAAGACUGGGAUAACGCCGGGAAACCGGGGCUAAUACCAGAUCGUUUUUUCCUCCGCAUGGAGGAAAAAGGAAAGGCGGCUUCGGCUGCCACUUACAGAUGGGCCCGCGGCGCAUUAGCUAGUUGGCGGGGUAAUGGCCCACCAAGGCAACGAUGCGUAGCCGACCUGAGAGGGUGAUCGGCCACAUUGGGACUGAGACACGGCCCAAACUCCUACGGGAGGCAGCAGUAGGGAAUCUUCCGCAAUGGACGAAAGUCUGACGGAGCAACGCCGCGUGAGUGAAGAAGGCCUUCGGGUCGUAAAACUCUGUUGCCGGGGAAGAACAAGUGCCGUUCGAACAGGGCGGCGCCUUGACGGUACCCGGCCAGAAAGCCACGGCUAACUACGU